RNAcentral lists this long non-coding RNA (2624 nucleotides) under Cucumis sativus (cucumber). RNAcentral's name for it is "long non-coding RNA (CSAT_LNC001389)". Lineage: Eukaryota; Viridiplantae; Streptophyta; Magnoliopsida; Cucurbitales; Cucurbitaceae. The record is from RNAcentral.
AGAAAGUAAAAAAGGUAAGCUGCCCCAUGGAAGCAGCAGUCCAACAGCUAUCAACCACCACUAAGUCCGUAGAUAUAUUAACCCAUUUCCGAUCAGCUCCUUCUUCCACUCCGACCAUUUUUUCUUCCCUCCGGCGACCUCAUAAUGGCUUCUCAAGUUCCUAGAAUCAAGCUCGGUUCUCAAGGCCUCGAAGUGUCCGCACAAGGUCUCGGCUGCAUGGGCAUGUCCGACUUCUACGGCCCUCUCCCAAGCCCGAAUCCGACAUGGUCGCUUUGAUCCACCACGCCGUCGACCGUGGCAUCACUCGUUUCGGCACCUCCGAUAACUACGGCCCAUUUACCAACGAAAUUCUCGUCGGUAAGGCUUUCAAGGACGGCAACAGAGACAAGGUCGAAGUUGCCACUAAAUUUGGAAAUACUUUCGCCGACGAUGGUAAGAGGGAGAUCCGUGGAGACCCUGCCUAUGUGAGAGCCGCUUGCGAGGCUAGUUUGAAGCGUCUCGAUGUUGACUGCAUCAAUCUCUAUUACCAGCAUCGGAUUGACACGAGGGUUCCGGUUGAAGUCACGGUUUGUUGCUUUCUUCCUUCUACUCUGUUGCUGCCAUACGUCGGCCUUUGAAAAGUAAUUCUAAGAUCGCAGCUGGCCUUGGCCUGGGUUCGUCACCAAGGGAAUGAUGUGUGUCCAAUUCCCGGAAGAACUAAGAUCGAAAAUCUCAACCAAAACAUUGGAGCUUUAGCGGUAAAACUCACACCUCAAGAACUGGCUGUGCUCGAAGGCUUUGCUGCAUAUGAUGUGGUCAAAGGCGAUCGUUAUGGAAGUGCCUUGGCGACUUGGAAGACCUCUGAGACACCACCCCUCUCUUCAUGGAAAGCCUAAGGUCAUACCUCUCUCUAAAGCUGCUUUACAUGCAAUGGAUUUGUCGUUAUGCUUUUGGAGUCUGCUGUCUGUUUUUGAAUUUUGUGUAAUAAAUCUAUGAUGAUCAUUUUUUAAUGAUCAAAGAAAAAAGAGAGUAGAAGCUCUUUACUUUCAAGAUGUCACUAUUUAUCAACGCUAAUGAAAAGUUUAUGAUAAUGGAGUUUUUAGUGUUGGUUUAGUGAAAAGUUUGGUUUCUUGAAAACAAUAAUAAAAAAAUGUGUUCGAGUAGUGAUAUUAAAAUGUCAUUUUCAUCAUUAUACUCGUGGAUUCUUUAUAUUUUAAAAACGAUUCUUUAUAUAUAUAUAUUUUUUAAAAUUUAUUCUUUGUAUUUGUAUGAACGUAGUUCAACCUUUAACCUCUUAAUCAAGGUAGUCUAUUGACUAUUUUAUGUUUAAUCGAACUAUAUUUACGUUGGCUAUCGAUAAUAAUAGUGUUCAUCCACAAAAAGAUAAUAGCGUUCAUGUAAUUUUUAUACUUUUCACAUUUUAUAAUUAACGUCGUCUUUCCUUGAAGCUAAUAUUGAUGCGCAUGUUCAUAAACACUAUGGUUAAAUUGAAUAUAUACGAUUGAUAGAAUUAUAUUAAUUAGGAGAUGAGGACUCCUUGUGGAGAUGUCAACUCAUUAAUCUAUUGGAUAUUUAUUUAUAUAAAAGAUUUAUAGAACUAUAACAUGAAGUAGUUUUGUAGUUUUGUGAUGAAUUUAUAGAACCAUACCUAAGAACCCAAAUAAUGCACCUAUAUGAACAAGAUGAGUAAUUUAGGCUCUAAUUUGAAAUGUUUGAGUGAGUACGUUAUAAUAGCUUACCUAAACGUAACAAAAAGUAAGGUUUAAACUCUAUUUUUAGCUUAGUGGUUAAACUAAUCAAUUAUUUCUUCCUCCGAUGUCCGAUAACUUGAGUCAUCAACUACCAACUCGAAUGACUACCUUUGGUGACCGACUACAGUGUUCACUUCGACAGAUUCCUUUAGCGACCAACUUCAAUGACCACCUCGUGACCAAUUGUAGUGAUUACUUCGACAACCCAGUCCAACGAAGAUCACCUUCGAACAUAAUUAUGACCACCUCUAAUUACCAACUAUCCAACUCCACAAACCACCUUUUAGCACCUUAAAUGGAUAUAGAGAUCAUAUGAGUUUUAUUUCCCCUUUUUUUUUCUUUUCAUUUACACCUUUCUUUCCUUUUUUAUUUUGUUUCUAUAUAGCAUUUGUUAAUAUAUUGGUAUAUUGAUAGAUAUUGAUUGAAAUCUAUUUAUAAUUAACCAAUAUAAAAUUUUGGUAUAUUUUGUUAAUACUUUUAUGAAUUUUAUCGGAAGAUUAAUUUUCUAAUUAAUAAUUCCGUUAUUUUGAAGUUGGAAGGCCUGCCGGCCAGACAACAGGAAAAAAAAAAGGGUAAAAUUCAUAAAUUGAUUUCAAUUUAUAAAAUUUCGCCGGAAAAAGGGCAAAAAGGUAACCCCCAACGACGCAGCAGCCAUCAGCUACCAACCACCACUAAAUCCGUAGAUAAAUUGACCCAUUCCCCAUCUCCUUCUUCCAAUCCGACCAUUUUUCUUCUCUCCGGCGACCUCAUAAUGGCUUCUCAAGUUCCUAGAAUCAAGCUCGGUUCUCAAGGUCUCGAAGUGUCCGCACAAGGUCUUGGCUGCAUGGGCAUGUCCGCCUUCUACGGCCCUCCCAAGCCCGACUCCGACAUGAUCGCUCUGAUCCACCACGCCGU